UGUCAGCGGCAGACGGGUGAGUAACGCGUGGGAACGUACCUCUUGGUUCGUAACAACACAGGGAAACUUGUGCUAAUACCGGAUAAGCCCUUACGGGGAAAGAUUUAUCGCCGAAAGAUCGGCCCGCGUCUGAUUAGCUAGUUGGUGAGGUAACGGCUCACUAAGGCGACGAUCAGUAGCUGGUCUGAGAGGAUGAUCAGCCACAUUGGGACUGAGACACGGCCCAAACUCCUACGGGAGGCAGCAGUGGUGAAUAUUGGACAAUGGGCGCAACCCUGAUCCAGCCAUGCCGCGUGAGUGAUGAAGGCCCUAGGGUUGUAAAGCUCUUUUGUGCGGGAAGAUAAUGACGGUACCGCAAGAAUAAGCCCCGGCUAACUUCGUGCCAGCAGCCGCGGUAAUACGAAGGGGGCUAGCGUUGCUCGGAAUCACUGGGCGUAAAGGGUGCGUAGGCGGGUCUUUAAGUCAGGGGUGAAAUCCUGGAGCUCAACUCCAGAACUGCCUUUGAUACUGAAGAUCUUGAGUUCGGGAGAGGUGAGUGGAACUGCGAGUGUAGAGGUGAAAUUCGUAGAUAUUCGCAAGAACACCAGUGGCGAAGGC
This 597-nucleotide ribosomal RNA is filed under the name Bradyrhizobium sp. Gc142. RNAcentral's name for it is "bacterial SSU rRNA". It matches the Rfam family "Bacterial small subunit ribosomal RNA", at positions 90 to 722 of the family's 1533-position model. Lineage: Bacteria; Pseudomonadati; Pseudomonadota; Alphaproteobacteria; Hyphomicrobiales; Nitrobacteraceae. The record is from RNAcentral.